Molecule: ribosomal RNA, 369 nt
Filed under: uncultured bacterium
Lineage: Bacteria
Description: bacterial SSU rRNA
Rfam family: Bacterial small subunit ribosomal RNA
Source: RNAcentral
GUAGGCAGCGAGCGUUGUUCGGAGUUACUGGGCGUAAAGAGUGUGUAGGCGGUGUCGUAAGUUCGGUGUGAAAUCUCCCGGCUUAACUGGGAGGGUGCGCCGGAAACUGCGAGACUUGAGUACGGGAGAGGGAAGCGGAAUUCCUGGUGUAGCGGUGAAAUGCGUAGAUAUCAGGAGGAACACCUGCGGUGUAGACGGCUUCCUGGACCGUUACUGACGCUGAGACACGAAAGCGUGGGGAGCAAACAGGAUUAGAUACCCUGGUAGUCCACGCCCUAAACGAUGCAUACUUGGUGUGAGCCAUUCAGUUGGUUCGUGCCGGAGCUAACGCGUUAAGUAUGCCGCCUGGGGAGUACGGUCGCAAGGCUG